GAGCCCAGGAGGUGGAGCUUGCAGUGAGCCGAGAUCGCACCACUGCACUGCAGCCUGGGCGACAGAGUGAGACUCUGUCUCAAAAAAGAAAGAAAAAAAAAAAGAUAAAAUUACCAGAAAAUAUUAAACAGGCAGCACUGAGAAGUGAAGGAAUAUUUGGGAGGAUCAGAAGCUUGGUCCUGAUUUUGCCAUCAACAGGAACUUGAUGACUUCAAGGGAGUCCCCAAACCCUGGGUUUCUGUUUUCUCAACUCUAACAUGAGGGGCUAGAUGCAUCUGGUUUAGUUAGUCUCCAUGAUGGUUUAGUUCGUCUCCAUGAUCCUGUGAAUUUCAGAUGUUGAAAAUCUUUGGAAAAGCCCUGAAAGAUGAACAGUCUUCACCAACCUCCUCCCUCCAGAAUAUUCCUCCAGAAUAUAAAAUGCCUCAUCAACAUGAGACAACAGCAGGAAGCACCCAUUUGUAGUAAUCCUCUGUAUGGAGGAGGCUGUUACAUAACCACAAAGGCACAAAGCUGCAGUUUUGAGAACAUCUUCCCACGCCAGUUCUAAACAUUGACCUCAACUAUGGUUGCUAACACAAGAAUCGGCACUGGUGAGUUUUGAGCCAUCAUUCAUCCUUUCCUAACAUACGAUUCUUUUGGAAAAUGGUCUCAAAUAGUCAAGACCCCCUGCUGGGAGGAGCUAUCCUGCUCUUUGGAAGAAAUGGGCAUGCCAGAUGCC
Molecule: non-coding RNA, 718 nt
Filed under: Pan troglodytes (chimpanzee)
Lineage: Eukaryota; Metazoa; Chordata; Mammalia; Primates; Hominidae
Source: RNAcentral